UACGGGGGGGGCAAGCGUUGUUCGGAAUUACUGGGCGUAAAGGGCUCGUAGGUGGCCAACUAAGUCAGACGUGAAAUCCCUCGGCUUAACCGGGGAACUGCGUCUGAUACUGGAUGGCUUGAGUUCGGGAGAGGGAUGCGGAAUUCCAGGUGUAGCGGUGAAAUGCGUAGAUAUCUGGAGGAACACCGGUGGCGAAGGCGGGUCUCUGGGCAGUAACUGACGCUGAGGAGCGAAAGCGUGGGGAGCGAACAGG
Molecule: ribosomal RNA, 253 nt
Filed under: uncultured bacterium
Lineage: Bacteria
Description: partial 16S ribosomal RNA
Rfam family: Bacterial small subunit ribosomal RNA
Source: RNAcentral